UUUUUUUUUUUUUUUUUUUUUGUUUUUGUUUUUUGUGUUUUAGGACCAAGCCAAGGCAUUCAACACCCUUUCCACAUCAUCUUCUCAAUAUAAUUUACGGAAUUUGAAAGUUUUGAAGACCUUUUUCCCAGUGCACUUGCUGACUUAAGUGCUUUCUGUUUGUUUGCUGGACUUAUAUUUGCUUUAUGUUGUGAAACUAAUAAAAUGAGGAUUAAUUUUUCCUACACUGUCAGUGUUGGAUGAGUGACGAUUAUGUAAAAUUUAAAUUUGAAAUUCAAUUUUCAUACACACACAUAUAUAUAUCAUGGAUCUAACGGUGAUAGUGUAUACACUGUUAGUGCACGUGAGAUUUAUUCAUAAUAUAAACUAUUAAAAGCAGUGAAUAAAGAAAGUAGAAUAGAGGCAAGGACAUAGUGAUAAUGUUUUCAAAGGUUAUAAAUGAGGUUUAUAUUCCCUCUCUUUGUAAGCACUACAAGAUUAAAGGUACAUGAACUCUAUUUAAGAUCCAUACAUAAAUUUAAUACUUCAAACAUAUGAAUUAAAUAAUUCUAUAAUGAACUAACGUAACUACAAAAAAAAAUCUUGUAGGAAAAUGAAUAUUCCAAUGUAUAUAUAUCGAGAAGAUAAAUGAACAUUCAUACUCAUCACUUCAUUAAUUGCAUAACACUUUAUGAUAUUUCCCCUCGGAAAAAAAGUAAGAAAGAUGAUAAUCGAAUUAUAUUAACUUUAGUUGGUGUGUUCAUUAAAAGUAUUAUAGAAUUGCAUAACUAGAGUGUUUGAGCAUAUUGGUGAGAAGUGAGAGAUUAAAAAGAGGUUCCCCUUCCCCUUUCAAUAAAAUGUCUGACAAAAACUUACGUAGCCUUAAAUGCACACCCAAAAUUAUUUGCCGAGAAGAUCAGUAGUAUUGCUCCGGAGAGAAAAUCAUGUAGAGUUGUAAUUUGCAUUGCAUCGUAAUACUUCAGUUUUCAAGAAAACAACUUUACAUGUGUUUUCAUUUGUAUUAAUUGUAUGUGAAGAAGCACGGAACUUCCCCGGACCGAGCUGACCUGAUGAGCUCGGCGUGCUGGCGAGAAGAGCGUGUCCUAAGCCUGAAAAGCGAACAAGGAGGUGAUCUGACAGGGGGGCCCCGACAUCGUUCCCGAGGGCACUCCGACGGUCAAGUUAGUUUUCCGGUGAGGGAGAUCCACGGGAAGUAAAAACGGUCGGGAGUAAUUGUCUAAUAGUGAGCGUACCUUGUGCAGUUGAUGUGUGUUACCAUUUAUACCUGCUUGGGAGUUCGACCUCCGUACGUUUCAGGACCUGUCCAAAAUAGCCUCAAUCCCGCACUGAGGGGGAGCAAUCCCGACCUAGGCGGGAUUGUUCUCUGGAGCCCUUGGACCCCUAGCGGCUGGGGGUCACGGGACGGUUCCCGUGAGCCUGAGGGUCUAAGCCCAGCUCAGGCACCCCUAGGCUGCCACGUGUGUGAGCCCAGGACGGGGCCUCUGCAUAAUGCAAGUCGGGUGUACCUCAUUUACUAGUAUCUACCUAUUCUUGAUCAAAGAUUUCAACUAAUUUUGGAUGGAUAAUUUUUUUUUUUUUUUUCGAUAUGGCUGCGGUUUGCUUUUGCAUUUUGAUGCUGAUUUUUUUGGAUAGCCAACCAAAAAAGAGUUAAAUUUCGAAUCCAUACAAGAUUAGCUUUGAGCUUGACCUUUCUUAUAAUUGCUUACUUUUUAUAGUCAAACUUUGGCAAAAUUCUUAUGAAGCCAUAAAAGCAGGCAGACAUGAUGAGCAACUUUGUAAGAUCUUGGGUCGAAAUCGGCAAGGCCCAGGUUUAAGCCCGACGAGAGGCGAAUUCCUAUUUCUGGAGAAGCAAGAAAUAGAAAUCGUCCUGGGCCACAUGUUUAAGAUCAUGUCGGUGCCUAAAGUGUAAGAAUCUACACCUCUGACUAGCACGCAAGCAGGGCCAGCAAACGAAGUUGAGGAAGAGCAGCCCCGAAAGCAGAAGAAAUGUGGGCUGCUCCACCAACAUCUUUCACCCACAAUAAUUCCCUCUCCACCGCCACCCCUGUCGAUGUCAGACUACCACCCCAGAGGUGCCGUGUUUCAUUUGCUUUCUCCCGGUGGCCUGAAAAUUGCUGCCGCGAUACGCAUGUUAACGUAGAGCGCAGGCAGAAUAAUGUUGGUGUUGGGGGCCAGGUCGCCGUCCUCACUGCCUUCAAAUCCAAGGUACAGCAGCAACAAAAACUGAAGCCCCCCUCCUCCUCUUCCUCCUCCUCCUCGCCUGGAGUAAGAGUGAAAGGGCCUAGUAGUAAUAAAAAACAAGGAAACCAGCAAGACAGAGCUGCCAAGCAAGAGGCAAAAAGGGGAGGCGGUGAAGACAGGAGGCAGUUGAGUGGCUCUGAUGUGUUGUGGGCAUUACAAAGAGCCACAGCUGAGAAAGCCAAGAAAUACCAGCAGCAGCGGCAGAAGAGAUACAAUGCAAACCAAGAAGAAGAAGAUGAGAUGAGGAGGGCCGUGGAGGUGGAUGAUGACCGCAGUAAUACUAAUGCUGGGCCUCGCUGGCUGUCCAUCCAAAGUGAUUGGGGGUUUCGGUUGGAAGCUCUGGAGAAGAGACUUGAAGAGCUUUUGCUUAUGGAUGUUUAGCGAAAUUCCAACUACACCUUUUUAGAGUUAUUAUGAGUUUCAGUUUGAGAGGCUCAAUUCCUUUGUGUAUUGUACAAACUCCUUUUAUUCUUCCACGUAAAAUGUAUGGCGUUCUUUCCCGGUUCCGCAUCUCUUCAAUAUCAAAGCUCCGUUCACGGGAAGAAGAAAUAUAUGAAUUCUCAAACGAGAACGACAUUCGUACAACACUUUCUUUUGGGGUUGUUCUAUAGAUCCAACAUCUUUAAACGAUCAGAUAAAAGCAAGAAAUGGAAGAUUAAUGUUUUAAAAGGCAUUCGCAUCCACAUUGUUUCUUCAAAAGAAGAAAUUGUUUUCGACACUCGAGAAGCUUGGGAGGUUGCUUGUACGAAGCCUACACUCUCGCCACACCAUGACCUUCGUUUUUAGUGUUCCCUUUUUUUUCCUUUCUUUGGAUCACAUGAUAGGGGAAAAAAAUAACAAAAAAAAAA
This 3089-nucleotide long non-coding RNA is filed under the name Coffea arabica (coffee). RNAcentral's name for it is "long non-coding RNA (CARA_LNC002056)". Lineage: Eukaryota; Viridiplantae; Streptophyta; Magnoliopsida; Gentianales; Rubiaceae. The record is from RNAcentral.